GGUUCAUUCAAAUUUCUUCCCUAUCAACUUUCGAUGGUAAGGUAUUGGCUUACCAUGGUUUCAACUGGUAACGGGGAAUUAGGGUUCGAUUCCGGAGAGGGAGCCUGAGAAACGGCUACCACAUCCAAGGAAGGCAGCAGGCGCGCAAAUUACCCAAUCCCGACGGGGAGGUAGUGACAAUAAAUACUGAUACAGGGCUCUUUUGGGUCUUGUAAUCGGAAUGAAUACAAUUUAAACCCCUUAACGAGGAACAAUUGGAGGGCAAGUCUGGUGCCAGCAGACGGGUAAUUCCAGCUCCAAUAGCGUAUAUUAAAGUUGUUGCAGUUAAAAAGCUCGUAGUUG
This 342-nucleotide ribosomal RNA is filed under the name uncultured fungus. RNAcentral describes it as "SSU rRNA". It matches the Rfam family "Eukaryotic small subunit ribosomal RNA", at positions 292 to 636 of the family's 1831-position model. Lineage: Eukaryota; Fungi. The record is from RNAcentral.